RNAcentral lists this long non-coding RNA (865 nucleotides) under Marmota monax (woodchuck). The record is from RNAcentral. Lineage: Eukaryota; Metazoa; Chordata; Mammalia; Rodentia; Sciuridae.
GAUUGAUAUAUUUUUGGUACCAGGGAUUGAACUCAGGGGCACUCGACCACUGAGCCACAUCCCCAGCCCUAUUUUGUAGUUUAUUUAGAGACAGGAUCUCACUGAGUUGCUUAGUGCCUCACAGUUGCUGAGGCUGGCUUUGAACUCUCAAUUCUCCUAUCUCAGCCUCCCAAGCCACUGGGAUCACAUGCAUGUGCCGCCUAAUCAUGUCUUUUAAAUUCAUGUAAAUAAAUAUAUACAUGUAUGUGUUCAUUUACAUAAAUAUGAUUAUUUUUGCUAUAUGGGAAAACGGAUGCCUGUCCCGAUUUUACUCCUGAAUGUAGGAUUUUGGACAUUGGGAUAAAUGAGAAGAGAGAGAAGUAGAUGGAGUUUGUUUUGUUUUGUUUUGUUUUCCAUGUGAAUGCCCUUUUAUCAUCAAGGAUAUUCUGCUUCAGUCCUUAAAUCUUUUCCAAAAUAUACACAAAAUUUAAAUGGGCUGGGGGAAGAACAUAGAAUGAAACGAAAAAUCUCUGGUAAGGAUGCAAUUUAAAGGUUGAAAAAAAGAUUCAUCCUCAUGAAUACAUCUUUGUUGUUAAAUAUUUAAGAGUCAAGGCAGAACAACUAAACCAGAAAGUGGAAAAGAAUAGAGGAGAUAAGAGUUUUAAAACAGAAUUAUCAGUGUUUUAAUUUUUAAAGGAACCAUCAGGUAUACAGAUUUUGCAGGAAAAAAUAGUAUCCAAAGUAUUGAUCACUUGUUUUUCCUCCAUAUGAAGAUGUAAAACUUGUGAAGUGUUUAAAUGAUUAUGGGAUGGAAAGUAAAUUUUUCAGAACAAUUAAAAGGCAUGUGAUACAUUUUUGAAAAUCUCUUAAACAACUAAAGUCAGUG